This 460-nucleotide ribosomal RNA is filed under the name uncultured bacterium. Its description in RNAcentral is "partial 16S ribosomal RNA". It matches the Rfam family "Bacterial small subunit ribosomal RNA", at positions 338 to 795 of the family's 1533-position model. The record is from RNAcentral.
CCUACGGGUGGCAGCAGUGAGGAAUAUUGGUCAAUGGACGAGAGUCUGAACCAGCCAAGUAGCGUGAAGGAUGACUGCCCUAUGGGUUGUAAACUUCUUUUAUAUGGGAAUAAAAUGUUCCACGUGUGGGAUUUUGUAUGUACCAUAUGAAUAAGGAUCGGCUAACUCCGUGCCAGCAGCCGCGGUAAUACGGAGGAUACGAGCGUUAUCCGGAUUUAUUGGGUUUAAAGGGAGCGUAGGUGGAUUGUUAAGUCAGUUGUGAAAGUUUGCGGCUCAACCGUAAAAUUGCAGUUGAAACUGGCAGUCUUGAGUACAGUAGAGGUGGGCGGAAUGCGUGGUGUAGCGGUGAAAUGCGUAGAUAUCACGAAGAACUCCGAUUGCGAAGGCAGUUCACUGGACUGCAACUGACACUGAGGCUCGAAAGUGUGGGUAUCAAACAGGAUUAGAUACCCGUGUAGUC